GAAAGCGAUUUUUAUCACUUUUUAGUAAAUAUCAACUGGACAAACGGCACCACAAUUGAUGUACUGGACACCGACACGGUAUUUGUGUCGUUUUUUCAUAAAAGGUAAUUUUGAUGUCUAAGAUUAAAGGUAACGUUAAGUGGUUUAAUGAGUCCAAAGGAUUCGGUUUCAUUACUCCGGAAGAUGGCAGCAAAGACGUGUUCGUACACUUCUCUGCAAUCCAGAGCAAUGGUUUCAAAACUCUGGCUGAAGGUCAGCGUGUAGAGUUCGAAAUCACUAACGGUGCCAAAGGCCCUUCUGCUGCUAACGUAAUUGCUCUGUAAUAACGUCUGGCUGAGAACGACAAAACCCGCCUUCAGGCGGGUUUUUUUUG
This 373-nucleotide small RNA is filed under the name Mangrovibacter sp. MFB070. Its description in RNAcentral is "cspA thermoregulator". It matches the Rfam family "cspA thermoregulator", at positions 79 to 428 of the family's 428-position model. The record is from Rfam by way of RNAcentral. Lineage: Bacteria; Pseudomonadati; Pseudomonadota; Gammaproteobacteria; Enterobacterales; Enterobacteriaceae.